RNAcentral lists this ribosomal RNA (283 nucleotides) under Amanita ponderosa. Its description in RNAcentral is "partial 28S ribosomal RNA". It matches the Rfam family "Eukaryotic large subunit ribosomal RNA", at positions 1 to 276 of the family's 3401-position model. Lineage: Eukaryota; Fungi; Basidiomycota; Agaricomycetes; Agaricales; Amanitaceae. The record is from RNAcentral.
UUGACCUCAAAUCAGGUAGGACUACCCGCUGAACUUAAGCAUAUCAAUAAGCGGAGGAAAAGAAACUAACAAGGAUUCCCCUAGUAACUGCGAGUGAAGUGGGAAAAGCUCAAAUUUAAAAUCUGACAGUCUUUGACUGUCUGAGUUGUAACCUAGAGAAGUGCUACCUGUGCUGGACCAUGUAUAAGUCUCCUGGAAUGGAGUGUCAGAGAGGGUGAGAAUCCCGUCCUUGACAUGGACUGCCANUGCAUUGUGGUGUGCUCUCAAAGAGUCGAGUUGUUUG